GAAAUGCGAUAAAUAAUAUGAAUUGCAGAAUUCAGCGAAUCAUCGAGUUUUUGAACGCACAUUGCGCCCUCUGGUAUUCCGGAGGGCUUGUCCGACCGAGCGUCGCGUCACCGCUCAAGCCCCCGGCUUGGUGUUGGGAACUGCGGGAAGCUGCCUUGGCAGCAUGCCCGCAGCCCCGAAAUGCAGUGGCGGCUUCCACGGGGUACCUCCCUAGCGCAGUAGAAAGCACUCGCUGCCGCUUCGGAGUCCUGGGACGGCCUGCCGUAAAACCGAACGAGGAGGCGGAGUUUCCGUCGUCCACGUUCUCUUACAGGUUGACCUCGGGUCGGACAAGACUACCCGCUGAACUUAA
This 352-nucleotide unclassified non-coding RNA is filed under the name uncultured Sordariomycetes. RNAcentral describes it as "sequence contains ITS1". The stretch from base 1 to 105 matches the Rfam family "5.8S ribosomal RNA", at positions 50 to 154 of the family's 154-position model. The record is from RNAcentral. Lineage: Eukaryota; Fungi; Ascomycota; Sordariomycetes.